UAUUCCCAAGCAGACGGUGCAUAAGAUGGACUGCAAUCCUAUGCACCCCUUGCAUCCAACUUGUACCUAAAAAUCUGCACAAACCUGCACCAGAGAACUGUAGAGUUGGGAGGUGAGAGCUGUUUCAUAGUUCUGCUGGAUCUUUUGGAGGCAUUUGACACCAUCAGCCAUAACAUCCUUCUGGACCGUCUAGAGGGCCUGGGAGCUAGAGGCACUGUUAUACAGUGGUUCCGCUCCUUCCUCUUGGGCCGUGUUCAGAAAAUGUUGUUGGGGGUUGAGUGGUGUUGGGGGAUGAGUGUUCAGAUCCCUGAGCUCUCACUUGUGGGGUGCCUCAGGGUUCCGUCCUCUCCCCAUGCUUUUCAACAUCUACAUGAAGCCGCUGGGAGAGAUCAGGGGGUUUGGGCUGGGUGUUCAUCAGUAUGCGGAAACCCAGCUCCACCUCUCUUUCAAAUCAGAACCAGUGAAGAUGGUGAAGGUCCUGUGUGAGUGUCUGGAGGCGGUUUGAGGAUGGAGGGCAGCUAACAUAUUAAAGUUGAAUGCUGACAAGGCAGGUGUCCUGUUUUGAGGGGACAGGAGGCAGGCAGGUGUGGAGGACUCCCUGGUUCUGAAUGGGGUAACUGUGCCCCUAAAGGACCAGGUGCGCAGCCUGGGAGUCAUUUUGGACUUGCAGCUGUCAAUGGAAGCGCAGGUCAAUUCCAUGUCCAGGGCAGCUGUUUACGAGCUCCAUCUGGUACGCAGGCUGAGACCCUAUCCGCCCGCAGACUGUCUUGCCAGACUAGCGCAUGCACCAGUUAUCUCCCACUUGCACUACUGCAAUGCACUCUACGUGGGGCUACCUUUGAAGGUGAUCUGGAAACAACAAUUAAUCCAGAAUGUGGCAGCUAGACUGGUGAUGGGGUGCAGCCGCCAAGACCACAUUACACUGGUAUUGAAAGACCAAGAUAGGCUCCCAUUGCAUUUCUGAGCACAAAUCAAAGCAUUGGUGCUGACCUUUAAGGCGCUAAACGGCCUCGAUCCAGUAUACCUGAAGUAGAGUCUCCACCUCCAUCGUUCUGCCUGGACAUGGAGGUCCAGCACCAAGAGCCUUCUGGCAGGUCCCUCACUGUGAGAAGCAAAGUUACAGGGAACCAGAUAGAGGGCCUUCUCAGUAGUGGUGCCCUCCCUGUGGAAUAACUUCCCACCAUAUGUCAAAGGAAAAAACAGCCACCAGACUUUAAAAGACAUCUGGUGGGCUGCCCUGUUUAGGGAAGCUUUUAAUAUCUGAAGGACUAUUGUAUUUCAAUAUUUUGUUGGAAGCCACCCAGAGUGGCGGGGGAAAUCUAGCCAGAUGGGCGUGGUGAUAAAUAUUAUUAUUAUUGAAAACCAACACAAUUUUUUUUCUGUACAUCCAGAGACUUGACAAUCAUCUUACUUCCCAGGAAAUCUGGGAAACCUGAGCGGAAAACUCCAUACAUUUAUAUGGUUUCCCACCUGUGUGAAUUAUCUUAUGAAUAUUAAGGUCUCCACUCCCUCUGAAGCUUUUUCCACAUUUCAUAAAUCUGGUUUUUCCCAUUUGAGUUAGCAGAAGUUUCCUAAGGUUCCAUAUUGACUUAAGCUACUCCCCUUUGGGAGUUUGCCAGUGUAAUGUAAGUUUAUCCUCCCUGUUGAAGCUCGUCCCACAUUCAAUACGUUCCAAUGGUUUCUCCCCCGUAUAAGUUAGUUGGUGUAUUCUAACACAUGUGAUAAGGCUACACAGGAAGGUAUUGAGUAAUAAAAGACUGGGCCAUGAAUUUAUUUCAUCAGACAAAGUUAAAAAAAGAGGAGUAGUAAUUUAUGCCUAUCACCAAAAUUUAUAUUUAAAGAUGACCAAGGAAGAUUUGUUGCAAUUGAAAUUCAAUCACAAGGAGAGAAAUUUUUGAUAGUAGGCAUCUAUGCACCAAACGAGGGGAAAUCGGAAUUUUUUAAGAAGUUACAUGAGACUCUGAUGGACCAUAUGGAUUACAAUAUGAUUUUGAUGGGGGACAUGGAGUGGUGACUACAAAUAUGGACAAGGCACAGAGACAGGUAGUUACUAAGUAUGGUAGACUACCAAAAACUUGUUUUGACAUGACUGACAAUAUGGAUUUAGUUGACAUUUGGAGAACGAAGAACCCCUUGGGAAGAGAGGGAACUUUCUUCUCUGAGGCCAAAAUGACAUGGACAAGAAUUGACCAAAUUUGGGUAACUAGAGGGCUGGCUCCGAAGACUAGAAAAGUGGAAAUCUGCCCUAAAACUUGCUCCGACCACAAUGCUGUGAAGAUGGAAAUGAAACUAACACCAAUUGGUUCCUUUAGAUGGAGGAUGAAUGACACUUUGUUUAGGAACGAAGAUGUGACUAAGAAGGCCCAAAAAACCUUGAGGGACUACUUUGAGAUAAAUAUGAACACCACUGUUGAAAAAGAGUAAUCUGGGAUGCAAGUAAAGCAGCUAUGAGAGGAUUUUUGAUACAACAGAAUGCAAUUAAGAAGAGAGCGCAAAAUGAAAAAUAAAGAUAAGAUUUUGGAG
Molecule: long non-coding RNA, 2523 nt
Filed under: Podarcis lilfordi (Lilford's wall lizard)
Lineage: Eukaryota; Metazoa; Chordata; Lepidosauria; Squamata; Lacertidae
Source: RNAcentral